GACGAACGCUGGCGGCGUGCCUAAUGCAUGCAAGUAGAACGCACAGUUUAUACCGUAGCUUGCUACACCAUAGACUGUGAGUUGCGAACGGGUGAGUAACGCGUAGGUAACCUGCCUGGUAGCGGUGGAUAACUAUUUGAAACGAUAGCUAAUACCUCAUAAUAUUAAUUAUUGCAUGAUAAUUAAUUGUAAGGUGCAAUUGCACCACUACCAGAUGGACCUGCGUUGUAUUAGCUAGUAGGUCAGGUAACGGCUCACCUAAGCGACGAUACAUAGCCGACCUGAGAGGGUGAUCGGCCACACUGGGACUGAGACACGGCCCAGACUCCUACGGGAGGCAGCAGUAGGGAAUCUUCGGCAAUGGACGAAAGUCUGACCGAGCAACGCCGCGUGAGUGAAGAAGGUUUUCGGAUCGUAAAGCUCUGUUGUAAGAGAAGAACGGGUGUGAGAGUGGAAAGUUCACACUGUGACGGUAUCUUACCAGAAAGGGACGGCUAACUACGUG
Molecule: ribosomal RNA, 505 nt
Filed under: uncultured bacterium
Lineage: Bacteria
Description: partial 16S ribosomal RNA
Rfam family: Bacterial small subunit ribosomal RNA
Source: RNAcentral